Pogona vitticeps (central bearded dragon) is the source of this 965-nucleotide long non-coding RNA. RefSeq lists it as uncharacterized. The record is from RefSeq and is a predicted model, not a curated record. NCBI's taxonomy places the organism in Eukaryota, Metazoa, Chordata, Lepidosauria, Squamata, Agamidae.
UGGGAGUAAAAAAGUCUACCAGGCAAAGGUUUUAGUGGUCCAUGCCAUACUGUCCUCAGUCGUGCACAGACUGUUUGAUCAAAUUUUGUCCCAAGUUCUGCAGAGUUUGUCUCUGUGUUCCAUGAAUGCUCCAGGCCCUCUCCUGAAAGUGCCCGACUGGCUCACAGUCACAGCUUGACUAGAAGAGGACAGCAGGGGGCGUUGGGGUCCCACGCAACUCAAGCUCACCCAUGGCUUCCAGCUUUCAGAAAACAUGUGUCACGCUCCCGGCACAUUUCCUCCACCCUCACAAACCACAAAUAAAUGUGUGAUGCUAACCUGGCUGACUCAGAAUAAAGUCCCACUGAAGCCAAUGUGACUAUCCUCCAGUUCUUCCUCUGGUGUGGCCACCACAGCAGAUACAUGAGAUGGUGGGUGGAAGGUGAACUGACAGCAGAACCCAGCCCAGGGCAUUUUCCACUGGGAAAUGGGCUCCACCUCAUCCUGGUCCCCUGCCUCCCAGCAAUUUUCCACAUCAGAGGUUUGAGACCGAAGAACUGAAAUCUGCGGAGAGCCUUUGUUCUGUCUUUUAUCUUGUGAAUUGUUGGUCCGGCUCACAAAGGUGUUUUGAAGUCUUUUAAACAGCUAAUUGACAUAUAAAUGGUUUUCUUGAAACAUAGAACCUGUCAAGCACUUGGUUCUUCAGAACGAAGGAUAGAUUUGAACUGACUUCCGAUGUGCCAGGGUCUCCGCACUCUACGAGGACGCUCUCCAGCAUGAAUCAGACUGCUCUCAGAGAAGAUAUCUUUUAAAUCCCAAUUGCCUAAAAAGCUUCAUUUUGUAUUUUAAGCCCCUCCUUGAAUACAAGCAUUCCUUGGGGACACUGCCAGGAGCCUGGACUGCAUUCAUCCUUUGAUUUCCUUAAACCUUUGUGUAUUUACGCUUAAUAACCGACAUUAGUGACAUUAAAAUUCUACUCACUGCAA